Molecule: ribosomal RNA, 497 nt
Filed under: uncultured bacterium
Lineage: Bacteria
Description: partial 16S ribosomal RNA
Rfam family: Bacterial small subunit ribosomal RNA
Source: RNAcentral
GAUGACUGCUGGCGGCGUGCCUAAUACAUGCAAGUCGAGCGGACGGACCAGAUGCUUGCUUCUCUGAGGUUAGCUGCGGACGUGACAGUAACACAUGGAUAACCUACCUGUAAGACUCCGCUUACUUCGGGAAUCCGGAUCCACUACCGUAGAAUCUUUUGAACCGCAUGGUUCAAACUUCAAAGACGGUCUUGCUGUCACUUAUCGCUCGAUCCGCGCUGCAUUGGCUACUUGGUAAGGUAACCGCUUACCAAGGCAACGAUGCAUAGCCGACCUGAGAGGGUGAUCGGCCACACUAGAACUGAGACACGGUCCACACUCCUACGGGAGGCAGCCGUAGGGCACCUUCCGCCAUGGGCGAAAGCCUGACGGAGCGCCGCCCCGCGAGUGGUGAAGGUCUUGGGAGCGGAAAACUCUGUACUGAGGGAAGAACACAUGUGUCAGUAACUGUGAACCUCCUGACGGUACCCAGUAAGAAAGCAGCGGCUACAUACGAG